ACACACCGCCCGUCACACCAUGAGAGUCGAUAACACCCGAAGCCUGUGAGCUUAACCUUUAGGAGGCAGCAGUCGAAGGUGGGGUUGAUGAUUGGGGUGAAGUCGUAACAAGGUACC
This 117-nucleotide ribosomal RNA is filed under the name uncultured bacterium. RNAcentral's name for it is "partial 16S ribosomal RNA". It matches the Rfam family "Bacterial small subunit ribosomal RNA", at positions 1385 to 1500 of the family's 1533-position model. The record is from RNAcentral.